UACGUAGGUGGCAAGCGUUACUCGGAAUCACUAGGCGUAAAGCGCAGGUAGGAGGUUUGGUAAGUCUGUUGUGAAAGCUCCCGGCUCAACUGGGAGAGGUCAACGGAAACUGCUAGGCUAGAGUGUGGUAGAGGAAGAUGGAAUUCCCGGUGUAGCGGUGAAAUGCGUAGAUAUCGGGAGGAAUACCUAUGGCGAAAGCAGUCUUCUGGACCAACACUGACUCUGAUCUGCGAAAGCUAGGGGAGCAAACAGG
Molecule: ribosomal RNA, 253 nt
Filed under: uncultured bacterium
Lineage: Bacteria
Description: partial 16S ribosomal RNA
Rfam family: Bacterial small subunit ribosomal RNA
Source: RNAcentral